AUUGAACCACCUGUUCUUGUAUGAUCACUAAAGUUAAGCAAUGUCGGGCCUGAGCAGUACCUAGAUGGGUGACUGUUUGGGAAUACCAGAUGCU
Molecule: non-coding RNA, 94 nt
Organism: Acanthosepion pharaonis
Lineage: Eukaryota; Metazoa; Mollusca; Cephalopoda; Sepiida; Sepiidae
Source: the annotation of a GenBank genome assembly